AACGAACGCUGGCGGCAGGCCUAACACAUGCAAGUCGAGCGAACCCUUCGGGGUUAGCGGCGGACGGGUUAGUAACGCGUGGGAAUAUACCCUUUGGUACGGAAUAGCCUCGGGAAACUGAGAGUAAUACCGUAUGUGCCCUUCGGGGAAAGAUUUAUCGCCAAAGGAUUAGCCCGCGUUGGAUUAGAUAGUUGGUGGGGUAAGUGGCCUACCAAGUCUACGAUCCAUAGCUGGUUUGAGAGGAUGAUCAGCAACACUGGGACUGAGACACGGCCCAGACUCCUACGGGAGGCAGCAGUGGGGAAUCUUAGACAAUGGGCGCAAGCCUGAUCUAGCCAUGCCGCGUGGACGAUGAAGGCCUUAGGGUUGUAAAGUCCUUUCAGAUGGGAAGAUAAUGACGGUACCAUCAGAAGAAGCCCCGGCUAACUCCGUG
This 433-nucleotide ribosomal RNA is filed under the name uncultured bacterium. Its description in RNAcentral is "bacterial SSU rRNA". It matches the Rfam family "Bacterial small subunit ribosomal RNA", at positions 29 to 507 of the family's 1533-position model. The record is from RNAcentral.